RNAcentral lists this ribosomal RNA (253 nucleotides) under uncultured bacterium. RNAcentral describes it as "partial 16S ribosomal RNA". It matches the Rfam family "Bacterial small subunit ribosomal RNA", at positions 524 to 776 of the family's 1533-position model. The record is from RNAcentral.
UACGAAGGGGGCUAGCGUUGCUCGGAAUUACUGGGCAUAAAGCGCACGUAGGUGGUCCGCUAAGUCGCGUGUGAAAUCCCCCGGCUCAACCGGGGAAAUGCGCGUGAUACUGGCGGGCUUGAGAUCGGGAGGGGUGAAUGGAACUCCAGGUGGAGCGGUGAAAUGCGUAGAUAUCUGGAGGAACACCGGUGGCGAAAGCGGUUCACUGGCCCGACACUGACACUGAGGUGCGAAAGCUAGGGUAGCAAACGGG